CCUACGGGAGGCAGCAGUGGGGAAUAUUGGGCAAUGGGCGAAAGCCUGAAGCAGCGACGCCGCGUGAGGGAUGAAGGCCUUCGGAUUGUAAACCUCUGUCAGCAGGGAAGAACGCUCAGUGUGCUAAGCACCAUUGAAUUGACGCUACCUGCAAAGGAAGCACCGGCUAACUCCGUGCCAGCAGCCGCGGUAAUACGGAGGGUGCGAGCGUUCAUCGGAAUUACUGGGCGUAAAGCGCUCGUAGGCGGUAUGUCAAGUCUAGGGUGAAAUCCCCGCGCUCAACGUGGGAACUGUCUUUGAAACUGGCAGACUGGAGUGUGUGAGAGGAUGGUGGAAUGCCAGGUGUAGGGGUGAAAUCCGUAGAUAUCUGGAGGAACAUCAGUGGCGAAGGCGACUAUCUGGCACAUAACUGACGCUGAGGCGCGAAAGCGUGGGUAGCAAACAGGAUUAGAUACCCUUGUAGUC
Molecule: ribosomal RNA, 465 nt
Filed under: uncultured bacterium
Lineage: Bacteria
Description: partial 16S ribosomal RNA
Rfam family: Bacterial small subunit ribosomal RNA
Source: RNAcentral